RNAcentral lists this ribosomal RNA (450 nucleotides) under uncultured soil bacterium. RNAcentral's name for it is "partial 16S ribosomal RNA". The record is from RNAcentral.
GAAUUCGAUUCGGUGUGACAAGGCCCGGGAACGUAUUCACCGCGGCGUGCUGAUCCGCGAUUACUAGCGAUUCCAACUUCAUGCAGGCGAGUUGCAGCCUACAAUCCGAACUGAGACCGACUUUCUCCGAUUAGCUCCACCUUGCGGUAUCGCGACGGUUUGUAUCGGCCAUUGUAGCACGUGUGUAGCCCCAGACAUAAAGGCCAUGCUGACUUGACGUCAUCCCCACCUUCCUCCGGUUUAUCACCGGCAGUCUCUGCAGAGUGCCCACCAUAACGUGAUGGCAACAGCAGACAAGGGUUGCGCUCGUUGCGGGACUUAACCCAACAUCUCACGACACGAGCUGACGACAGCCAUGCAGCACCUCUACGAGUGUCCUUGCGGAAGCUCCCUUUCGGGAGGGGUCACUCGCUGUUCAAGCCUGGGUAAGGUUCUUCGCGUUAAUCACUA